Molecule: transfer RNA, 77 nt
Filed under: bacterium
Lineage: Bacteria
Also listed under: 4 other names
Description: tRNA-Arg
Rfam family: tRNA
About the family: Transfer RNA (tRNA) molecules are approximately 80 nucleotides in length. Their secondary structure includes four short double-helical elements and three loops (D, anti-codon, and T loops).
Source: RNAcentral
GGACCCAUAGUGUAGCCUGGAUAUCACUGGGGCUUGCGGAGCCUUAAACCCGUGUUCAAAUCGCGGUGGGUCCGCCA